RNAcentral lists this ribosomal RNA (379 nucleotides) under uncultured bacterium. RNAcentral's name for it is "bacterial SSU rRNA". It matches the Rfam family "Bacterial small subunit ribosomal RNA", at positions 362 to 758 of the family's 1533-position model. The record is from RNAcentral.
UCUUGGACAAUGGGGGAAACCCUGAUCCAGCCAUGCCGCGUGAGUGAUGAAGGCCUUCGGGCUGUAAAACUCUUUCGACGGGGACGAUAAUGACGGUACCCGUAGAAGAAGCUCCGGCUAACUUCGUGCCAGCAGCCGCGGUAAUACGAAGGGGGCUAGCGUUGUUCGGAAUUACUGGGCGUAAAGCGCGCGCAGGCGGUCUUCCAAGUCAGUGGUGAAAGCCCGGAGCUCAACUCCGGAACUGCCAUUGAAACUGUGAGACUUGAGUACGAGAGAGGUGAGUGGAAUUCCCAGUGUAGAGGUGAAAUUCGUAGAUAUUGGGAAGAACACCGGUGGCGAAGGCGGCUCACUGGCUCGUAACUGACGCUCAGGCGCGACA